UGCCAAUAUUUCUUUUUUAAUGGUUGAGUAAUUUUGUUGUGCCGAUUUCCAUACACCUGAGGUUGUUGGAUUCGCUAUAGUUAGGCAUGGCAAUUCUUUAGCUUUAGCUUUGAUUUUUAUAACAGCAGUUGUAUGCUCACUGCUCCAAUUAGCAGGGUUUUUCCGUAAUCUUGCAUAUAGAGGAAAUUUAUCAGCAAAGGAUAUAGCCCGUUCUAUAGGUAUUAUAGUACCUUU
Long non-coding RNA from Papaver somniferum (opium poppy), 234 nucleotides. RefSeq lists it as uncharacterized. The transcript has 3 exons. The record is from RefSeq and is a predicted model, not a curated record. Lineage: Eukaryota; Viridiplantae; Streptophyta; Magnoliopsida; Ranunculales; Papaveraceae.